CCUACGGGUGGCAGCAGUGAGGAAUAUUGGGCAAUGGACGCAAGGCUGACCCAGCCAAGCCGCGUGAGUGAAGAAGGUUUUCGGAUUGUAAAGCUCUUUCGGAAGUGACGAGGAUGACGGUAGCAUUUAAAGAUGCCCCGGCUCACUUUGUGCAAGAAGCGGCGGUAAUACGAAGGGGGCAAGCGUGGUGCGGAUUUACUGGGCGUAAAGGGAGUGUAUGCGGUUUCGGAAGAUAGUGGUGAAAUCCCCGGGCUUAACUUUCGAUUUGCAUUUUUAACUAAUGGUCUUGAGUUACAGAGAGGAAUGCGGAAUACCUAGUGUAGCGGUGAAAUGCGUAGAUAUUAGGUAGAACACCAGUGGCGAAGGCGACUUUCUGGCUGUACAUUGACGCUGAGGCUCGAAAGCGUGGGGAUCAAACAGGAUUAGAGACCCGAGUAGUC
Molecule: ribosomal RNA, 440 nt
Filed under: uncultured bacterium
Lineage: Bacteria
Description: partial 16S ribosomal RNA
Rfam family: Bacterial small subunit ribosomal RNA
Source: RNAcentral